RNAcentral lists this non-coding RNA (93 nucleotides) under Candidatus Brocadia. RNAcentral describes it as "c-di-GMP sequence". It matches the Rfam family "c-di-GMP-I riboswitch aptamer". From Rfam's summary of the family: GEMM was predicted in a large-scale screen for bacterial structured RNA regulatory elements. Genes associated with GEMM are involved in a diverse array of functions, including chemotaxis regulation, signal transduction, secretion and chitin. RNAcentral also lists the same sequence under 1 other name. The record is from RNAcentral. Lineage: Bacteria; Pseudomonadati; Planctomycetota; Candidatus Brocadiia; Candidatus Brocadiales; Candidatus Brocadiaceae.
GAGCGAUAAAGGUAAACCCUGAGUGAUCGGGAGACGCAAAGUAAUAGGGUCUUUAACUACAAAGGCGUAGUGUAAGAUAGCCUUACUGCCGAA